RNAcentral lists this ribosomal RNA (881 nucleotides) under Lysinibacillus sphaericus. Its description in RNAcentral is "bacterial SSU rRNA". It matches the Rfam family "Bacterial small subunit ribosomal RNA", at positions 697 to 1533 of the family's 1533-position model. Lineage: Bacteria; Bacillati; Bacillota; Bacilli; Caryophanales; Bacillaceae. The record is from RNAcentral.
UCGAGCGAAAGAAGAGGGCCUUGCUCCUUUGACGUUAGCGGAGGACGGAUGAAAGCGUGGGGGAGCAAACAGGAUAGGUAGGGAUAACCCUGGUAGUUCACGCCCGUAAACGAAGAGUGAUAAGUGUUAGGGGGUUUCCGCCCUUUAGUGCUGCAGCUAACGCAUUAAGCACUCCGCCUGGGGAGUACGGUCGCAAGAUUGAAACGUCAAAGGAAUUGACGGKGGCCCUGCACAAGCGGUGUGAGCAUGUGGUUUAAUUGAAGCAACGCGAAGAACCUUACCAGGUCUUGACAUCCCGUUGACCACCGUAGAGAUAUGGAAUUUUCCCUAGUCGGGGACAACCUGAUGGUGACAGGUGGUGCGACUGGUUGUCGUCAGCUCGUGUCGUAGAGAUCUGUUGGGUUAAGUCACCGCAACUUUUUGAGCGCAACACCUUGAUAUUAGUUGCCAUCAUUUAGUUGCCACGGCACUUUAAGGUGACUGCAACCGCGGUGACAAACCGGAGGAAGGCGUGGUCCGGAAUUAUUAGGCGUCAAAUCAUGCAUGCGAUCCUUUAACUCUGACCUGGGCUACACACGUGCUACAAUGGACGAUACAAACGGUUGCCAACUCGCGGAGAUGGGAGCUAAUCCGAUAAAGUCGAAUUCUCAGUGUAUCGGAUUGUAGGCUGCAACUCGCCUACAKGAAGCCGGAAUCGCUAAAGUAACUCGUCGGAUCAGCAACUGCCGCUGAGGUGAGAAUACGUGAGUGAGCUCCCGGGCCUUGUACACCCCGCCCUCAUCACCACGAGAGUUUGUAACACCAGAAGUCGGUGGGGUAAGCCCCUUAGUGCUGCAUCUACCGCCUGAAGAACUCCGCCUGGGGGAUUACGGUCCCAAUGA